GACGAACGCUGGCGGCGUGCUUAACACAUGCAAGUCGAACGGAAAGGCCCUGCUCUUGCGGGGUGCUCGAGUGGCGAACGGGUGAGUAACACGUGAGUAACACGCACUUGACAUUGGGAUAAAUCUAGGAAAAUGGGGCUAAUACCGGAUAGGAGCUCUUGCUGCAUGGUGGGGGUUGGAAAGUUGCGGCGGUUGGGGAUGGACUCGCGGCUUAUCAGCCUGUUGGUGGGGUAGUGGCUUACAAAGGCUUUGACGGGUAGCCGGCCUGAGAGGGUGACCGGCCACAGAGGGCUUGGGAUGCGGCCCGGACGCCUACGGGAGGCAGCAGUGGGGAAUAGUGCACGAUGGGCGGAGGGCUGGAUCAGCAUCGCCGCGUGCGGGAUGACGGCCUUCGGGUUGGAACCAGCUUUCGCCUGUGACGAAGCGUGAGGGACGGAAAUGGGUAAAGAAGCACCGGCUAACUACUG
This 467-nucleotide ribosomal RNA is filed under the name uncultured bacterium. RNAcentral describes it as "partial 16S ribosomal RNA". It matches the Rfam family "Bacterial small subunit ribosomal RNA", at positions 28 to 506 of the family's 1533-position model. The record is from RNAcentral.